RNAcentral lists this ribosomal RNA (990 nucleotides) under Triticum aestivum (bread wheat). RNAcentral describes it as "partial small subunit ribosomal RNA". The record is from RNAcentral. Lineage: Eukaryota; Viridiplantae; Streptophyta; Magnoliopsida; Poales; Poaceae.
AUGGACCCGAGGAAAAUUCCACCUAGUGCGCCUCUCCAUGAGGAUGGGUACAUAUACAACAUUUUCUUUGACCUAGAAGACAUUGUGGAAGAAGAAGGUCCAAUGAAGGAUGGUAUCUUAGUGAGCCAUCCUAGAGCUGCUGUAGCAAAAUCAAGCAAUAAUGAGAAGCGACCUCGGGACAAAUCAUCCGGGACUGAUGCUGGAAGUGGGAAAUCUCCCAAACAUGCUGCUCCCACAGCCUCUGAUGCUGAAAAUGGUGGUAGCUCACAUGUAGAAGAGGUCGUUCCUAGCCAAUAUGAGUUAGGAAAAAAAUUAAUUGCUGAGAGAGAAACUAGGAAGCUACUUCUUGAGAAAAAAUUAACCAGUGAAAAGACGCUCUCGGGAGUGGAACAGGUCAAUGCUGAGUUUGCCAAAGACACUGCUAUGUUAGAGGACUUUACUGAGGAGGAAGAGAGUCUGAAGGAGGAUGAGUUCGAUUGUACACAAGAUCCAGAUCACUUUGCUAGGAGGUUGGGCAUUAGUCCACAGAGGAUUAAGGAAAUCAACGAUGCCGCUGAUAAAGAUUUACUUGCUGCGGAUUCUGGUGAACUACAAAGUACUCCUGAUAAAGAGAAUGAAGAUCCUGUUUAUCUGAACUCCAAGACAGCUGCUAUACCGCCUGAGAGAGUUUUGUAUCAAAAAAAUCCUUCUGUUGAUGGGGGUGCAGUAUCUGUUUUGCAAGUUCCGCUACAAGAUAUUAGAGUGGAUGAUGACCCUACCAAAAAGAAACUAUCUGAUGCCGCUGCGAGAGUUCAAAAAGCCAAGGACAAUGCUGCUUUGGAUGAGGCAGCAAGAAGAAGGAGCGACAGGAACAAGAAUAAGGAUGAAGGGCAAACUAUGGACAAGGCUGUGGAGAUGGCAAGGAGGAAAAAUCUGGAAAAGACCCCAGGUGUAACGUCUAUACCUACUGUUUUAAAUACCGUCCCUAGUUUUAUUGCCCUGUCAGUUUAG